CUGCUGAACUUCUUCGGGCUGCAGGUCAGCGCUUCCUGCUGCAGCCAAUGUGAGUGGCCGUCAACCUUGUUGCACUUCAUGUGCGGGCAGUCUGUUUGUCCACUACUGUGGUGCGCACCUCGCACACUUGGUUGAACGCGCCGCUCGCUUUGGUCGAGUUCUUGGAACACGGCCCGCGCACGCGUGCGAACCUCGUCACGAUGCCUUGUACCUGUGGGCUGCCAUACAUCGACGUGUGACCACGGCAGUCAUCUGAGCACCGGCACGUGAUUCUAUCGUUCAGCCUUUUCUUCAAGUCCCGCCGACCUUCCAGGAGGAGUCCAUGGAGCACCGCACUUUAUUUUGGACAUG
This is a long non-coding RNA of Rhipicephalus sanguineus (brown dog tick), 351 nucleotides long. RefSeq lists it as uncharacterized. The transcript is spliced from 3 exons. Lineage: Eukaryota; Metazoa; Arthropoda; Arachnida; Ixodida; Ixodidae. The record is from RefSeq and is a predicted model, not a curated record.